UACAGAGGGGGCAAGCGUUAUUCGGAAUUAUUGGGCGUAAAGGGCGCGUAGGCGGCCUGACAAGUGGAAGGUGAAAUCCCUCGGCUUAACCGAGGAACUGCCCUCCAAACUGUUUGGCUUGAGUCCGGGAGAGGUGAGUGGAAUUCCCAGUGUAGCGGUGAAAUGCGUAGAUAUUGGGAGGAACACCAGUGGCGAAGGCGGCUCACUGGACCGGAACUGACGCUGAUGCGCGAAAGCGUGGGGAGCAAACGGG
RNAcentral lists this ribosomal RNA (253 nucleotides) under uncultured bacterium. RNAcentral describes it as "partial 16S ribosomal RNA". It matches the Rfam family "Bacterial small subunit ribosomal RNA", at positions 524 to 776 of the family's 1533-position model. The record is from RNAcentral.